CGGUAAUACGUAGGUGGCAAGCGUUGUCCGGAAUUAUUGGGCGUAAAGGGCUCGCAGGCGGUUUCUUAAGUCUGAUGUGAAAGCCCCCGGCUCAACCGGGGAGGGUCAUUGGAAACUGGGAAACUUGAGUGCAGAAGAGGAGAGUGGAAUUCCACGUGUAGCGGUGAAAUGCGUAGAGAUGUGGAGGAACACCAGUGGCGAAGGCGACUCUCUGGUCUGUAACUGACGCUGAGGAGCGAAAGCGUGGGGAGCGAACAGGAUUAGAUACCCUGGUAGUCCACGCCGUAAACGAUGAGUGCUAAGUGUUAGGGGGUUUCCGCCCCUUAGUGCUGCAGCUAACGCAUUAAGCACUCCGCCUGGGGAGUACGGUCGCAAGACUGAAACUCAAAGGAAUUGACGGGGGCCCGCACAAGCGGUGGAGCAUGUGGUUUAAUUCGAAGCAACGCGAAGAACCUUACCAGGUCUUGACAUCCUCUGACAACCCUAGAGAUAGGGCUUUCCCUUCGGGGACAGAGUGACAGGUGGUGCAUGGUUGUCGUCAGCUCGUGUCGUGAGAUGUUGGGUUAAGUCCCGCAACG
Molecule: ribosomal RNA, 578 nt
Filed under: Bacillus pumilus
Lineage: Bacteria; Bacillati; Bacillota; Bacilli; Caryophanales; Bacillaceae
Description: bacterial SSU rRNA
Rfam family: Bacterial small subunit ribosomal RNA
Source: RNAcentral